RNAcentral lists this long non-coding RNA (231 nucleotides) under Brassica napus (rape). Its description in RNAcentral is "long non-coding RNA (BNAP_LNC003533)". Lineage: Eukaryota; Viridiplantae; Streptophyta; Magnoliopsida; Brassicales; Brassicaceae. The record is from RNAcentral.
CCAUUCAGCAAGAUAUAAUAUUUUAUCAUUUGUAAAUAUAUUAUCAAGAUGCAUGGGGUUAUCGGUAAACUGAAAAUAAAUUGGGAAAGAAACACAAUAAUGGAAGAAGUAGAAACACGUCGGUAUCAAGCACAGUCUUUUAAUUUGCUUUGACCUCCCUCCUCCCGCUCUCGCUCCUUGCCAUUGCUCUCCUUCCUCGCAAAGCCCUAGCUUUCUUCUCUUCCCCCUCUC